ACAAGUCCCAGAAAGGGAAGUCAGUUCCCCCCAAACCCCUCCAGUAAUAAAAUUUCAGCAUAUCAGAUCUGAUACACUGCUUUCUGCUCUUCUGGAUCGCUUUGAGGAACAUGGAACAAAGCAGCUUUGCAUCUCCGACCGACCGUUUCUCUCUCCCACAUCCAAACCUGCUAAAAGAACAGCCAGAUCUUGCAAGUGGGUAACAGAUGGCUAUUAAACCAGUUCCCUUUUACAAGGCAAUAGCACAUGCAAAAUAUCUGGAUUUGUAUAAUAAAAGCUUUGACUCUUAA
Long non-coding RNA from Anolis carolinensis (green anole), 290 nucleotides. RefSeq lists it as uncharacterized. The record is from RefSeq and is a predicted model, not a curated record. Lineage: Eukaryota; Metazoa; Chordata; Lepidosauria; Squamata; Anolidae. The transcript has 2 exons.